This 526-nucleotide ribosomal RNA is filed under the name uncultured archaeon. Its description in RNAcentral is "bacterial SSU rRNA". It matches the Rfam family "Archaeal small subunit ribosomal RNA", at positions 471 to 997 of the family's 1478-position model. The record is from RNAcentral.
UAACACCGGCAGCUCUAGUGGUAGCUAAUUUUAUUGGGCCUAAAGCGUCCGUAGCCGGUUUAAUAAGUCUCUGGUGAAAUCCUGCAGCUUAACUGUGGGAAUUGCUGGAGAUACUAUUAGACUUGAGACCGGGAGAGGUUAGAGGUACUCCCAGGGUAGAGGUGAAAUUCUGUAAUCCUGGGAGGACCGCCUGUUGCGAAGGCGUCUAACUGGAACGGUUCUGACGGUGAGGGACGAAAGUUAGGGGCGCGAACCGGAUUAGAUACCCGGGUAGUCCUAACUGUAAACGAUGCGGACUUGGUGUUGGGUGGCUUUGAGCUGCUUCAGUGCCGAAGGGAAGCUGUUAAGUCCGCCGCCUGGGAAGUACGGUCGCAAGACUGAAACUUAAGGAAUUGGCGGGGGAGCACCACAACGCGUGGAGCCUGCCGGUUUAAUUGGAUUCAACGCCGGACAUCUCACCAGAGGCGACAGCUGUAUGAUAGCCAGGUUGAUGACUUUGCUUGACUAGCUGAGAAGAGGUGCAUGG